UACGAAGGGGGCUAGCGUUGUUCGGAAUCACUGGGCGUAAAGGGCGCGUAGGCGGCUAGAUAAGUCGGGGGUGAAAGCCUGUGGCUCAACCACAGAAUUGCCUUCGAUACUGUCUGGCUUGAGACCGGAAGAGGUUAGUGGAACUGCGAGUGUAGAGGUGAAAUUCGUAGAUAUUCGCAAGAACACCAGUGGCGAAGGCGGCUCACUGGCCCGAUACUGACGCUGAGGUGCGAAAGCGUGGGGAGCAAACAGG
This 253-nucleotide ribosomal RNA is filed under the name uncultured bacterium. RNAcentral's name for it is "partial 16S ribosomal RNA". It matches the Rfam family "Bacterial small subunit ribosomal RNA", at positions 524 to 776 of the family's 1533-position model. The record is from RNAcentral.